RNAcentral lists this transfer RNA (73 nucleotides) under Prevotella sp. RNAcentral's name for it is "tRNA-Pro". It matches the Rfam family "tRNA". Rfam says of the family: Transfer RNA (tRNA) molecules are approximately 80 nucleotides in length. Their secondary structure includes four short double-helical elements and three loops (D, anti-codon, and T loops). Further hydrogen bonds mediate the characteristic L-shaped molecular structure. tRNAs have two regions of fundamental functional importance: the anti-codon, which is responsible for specific mRNA codon recognition, and the 3' end, to which the tRNAs corresponding amino acid is attached (by aminoacyl-tRNA synthetases). tRNAs cope with the degeneracy of the genetic code in two manners: having more than one tRNA (with a specific anti-codon) for a particular amino acid; and 'wobble' base-pairing, i.e. permitting non-standard base-pairing at the 3rd anti-codon position. Lineage: Bacteria; Pseudomonadati; Bacteroidota; Bacteroidia; Bacteroidales; Prevotellaceae. The record is from RNAcentral. RNAcentral also lists the same sequence under 1 other name.
CGGGAUGUAGCGCAGUUGGUAGCGCACUACGUUCGGGACGUAGAUGUCGCCAGUUCGAAUCUGGUCAUCCCGA